Molecule: transfer RNA, 88 nt
Filed under: Oryza barthii
Lineage: Eukaryota; Viridiplantae; Streptophyta; Magnoliopsida; Poales; Poaceae
Rfam family: tRNA
About the family: Transfer RNA (tRNA) molecules are approximately 80 nucleotides in length. Their secondary structure includes four short double-helical elements and three loops (D, anti-codon, and T loops).
Source: Rfam by way of RNAcentral
GGAGAGAUGGCUGAGUGGCUGAUAGCUCUGGUCUUGAAAACCGGUAUAGCUCUAGGAACUAUUGAGGGUUCGAAUCCCUCUCUCUCCU